CCCUUAGAUGUUCUGGACCGCACGCGCGCUACACUGAUGAAUGCAACGAGCUCUACCCUUGACCGAAAGGCCCGGGUAAACUUGUGAAACUUCAUCGUGAUGGGGAUAGAUUAUUGCAAUUAUUAAUCUUCAACGAGGAAUUCCUAGUAAGCGCGAGUCAUCAGCUUGCAUUGAUUACGUCCCUGCCCUUUGUACACACCGCCCGUCGCUACUGCCGAUUGAAUGGCUUAGUGAGCCCGAGGGACUGUUGCACCUAGAGGGUUUUCUCUCCAGGAGCAGCCGGGAACUCGGCCAAACUUGAUCAUUUAGAGGAAGUAAAAGUCGUAACA
RNAcentral lists this ribosomal RNA (329 nucleotides) under uncultured eukaryote. Its description in RNAcentral is "partial 18S ribosomal RNA". It matches the Rfam family "Eukaryotic small subunit ribosomal RNA", at positions 1470 to 1796 of the family's 1831-position model. The record is from RNAcentral.